UUUCAUUGAUUUUCUGGAAUAUAAAGAAUGGGUUUUGUUCAUUUUAUGUAUUUUUUUUUGUUGCAAUAUCAUAGCAAGAAAAUCCACAUGGCGGCCAGCAGUACCGGUGGCAGCAAAAUCCUCCCCAGCAUGUCGUUGCACUUGCAAAUAUUCCAAGUCCUCCGCCUCCUCCGCCACCUUUCAUGAACAGCAGCGGAGUUUCUGGCUCUGAAAACUCAUCCUCUAUCGUCUCCUGGUAUUGUAUUUUGUUUCCCGAAGACAAUUUGGUCUACUUAGUUACUUGUUACAUUGGUUUAUAAUGGAACGAGACUUGUUGAAGGCUGCGAGCCAGAAUUAUGAUGGAAACUUAACUCCUUCACCA
Hibiscus syriacus is the source of this 361-nucleotide long non-coding RNA. RefSeq lists it as uncharacterized. The transcript has 2 exons. NCBI's taxonomy places the organism in Eukaryota, Viridiplantae, Streptophyta, Magnoliopsida, Malvales, Malvaceae. The record is from RefSeq and is a predicted model, not a curated record.